Molecule: ribosomal RNA, 501 nt
Filed under: uncultured bacterium
Lineage: Bacteria
Description: partial 16S ribosomal RNA
Rfam family: Bacterial small subunit ribosomal RNA
Source: RNAcentral
AUUGAACGCUGGCGGCAUGCCUUACGCAUGCAAGUCGAACGGCAGCACGGGUGCUUGCACCUGGUGGCGAGUGGCGAACGGGUGAGUAAUACAUCGGAACGUACCUUAUCGUGGGGGAUAACGCAGCGAAAGCUGUGCUAAUACCGCAUACGCCCUGAGGGGGAAAGCGGGGGAUCGAAAGACCUCGCGCGAUUAGAGCGGCCGAUGCCUGAUUAGCUUGUUGGUGGGGUAAAAGCCCACCAAGGCGACGAUCAGUAGCUGGUCUGAGAGGACGAUCAGCCACCCUGGGACUGAGACACGGCCCAGACUCCUACGGGAGGCAGCAGUGGGGAAUUUUGGACAAUGGGGGCAACCCUGAUCCAGCCAUGCCGCGUGAGUGAAGAAGGCCUUCGGGUUGUAAAGCUCUUUUGUCAGGGAAGAAACACCGGCUCUAACACAGUCCGGGAAUGACGGUACCUGAAGAAUAAGCACCGGCUAACUACGUGCCAGCAGCCGCAGUAA